Molecule: ribosomal RNA, 310 nt
Filed under: uncultured Glomeromycotina
Lineage: Eukaryota; Fungi; Glomeromycota
Description: LSU rRNA
Source: RNAcentral
UUGAAAGGGAAACGAUUGAAGUCAGUCAUGCUGGUGGGAAUCAACUUAGGGGAAACUCUGGGUGCACUUCUUCGCUUGGCAGGUCAACGUCGAUUUUGAAUGUCAUAAAAUAAUUGGGGAAGGUAGCUCCUUCGGGAGUGUUAUAGCCCUUGAUAGAUGUGAUGUUUGAGGUCGAGGAUUGCAACGGAUACCUUUGGGGCUAGCUGCCUGAUCUCUAAUUGGUGUUGGGUUACGGACAGCAUGCUGACCGUGAUCUAAUUACUGGUUAAAAGGUUAGAGUGUGCAUAAAUUCGUUAAGGAUGUUGACGUA